RNAcentral lists this unclassified non-coding RNA (421 nucleotides) under fungal sp. RNAcentral describes it as "partial internal transcribed spacer region". The stretch from base 1 to 46 matches the Rfam family "Eukaryotic small subunit ribosomal RNA", at positions 1786 to 1831 of the family's 1831-position model. The record is from RNAcentral. Lineage: Eukaryota; Fungi.
AAGUCGUAACAAGGUUUCCGUAGGUGAACGUGCGGAAGGAUCAUUAACACGUAUCCAACCGUUAGAAGCCCCCCCGUGAACAUUGAUUCCUGCUCUUGUAACCCGCCAAGCUUGCAAUCUCUGGUAAUCAUAGCCCGGAAAGUAGUUUUGAUUCAGAGACGUCUGGCCCGUGCGAAAAUUGGAACUUUACAAUUCGAGCGGUAGUUCUUUCGGCCUUGUUUCCCCAAGCAGUCAGUGUCUGAAAGUGUCAGUGAUUGUGCAAGGACAACCCUUCACGAUUCUUGUAGACCGCACCUCGCGGGCAGGAGCUAGGCCAAAGGGUCCCCAUGCCUCCUUAAAACCCCACAGUGAAAUGUGAAGCUCAAUGUAAUACAUUGGGUCAAAAACCGAACAACUGGCAACAAUGGAUAUCUUGGUUCUC